GCCAUAAUUCAAACUUUUUUUCUGAUAAGCUGGUUCUCACUUCUGUUACUCCAGCUUCUUCGGCACCUGUUUUACAGACACCUAAAGCUACAUCGUCAACGUUAUAUUUUGAUAGUUUGACGGUUAAUGCUGGUAAUGGUGGUUUUCUUCAUUGCAUUCAGAUGGAUACAUCUGUCAACGCCGCUAAUCAGGUUGUUUCUGUUGGUGCUGAUAUUGCUUUUGAUGCCGACCCUAAAUUUUUUGCCUGUUUGGUUCGCUUUGAGUCUUCUUCGGUUCCGACUACCCUCCCGACUGCCUAUGAUGUUUAUCCUUUGGAUGGUCGCCAUGAUGGUGGUUAUUAUACCGU
Molecule: ribosomal RNA, 346 nt
Filed under: uncultured prokaryote
Description: partial 16S ribosomal RNA
Source: RNAcentral